GAUGAACGCUGGCGGCGUGCCUAAUACAUGCAAGUCGAGCGAACGGACGAGAAGCUUGCUUCUCUGAUGCUAGCGGCGGACGGGUGAGUAACACGUGGAUAACCUACCUAUAAGACUGGGAUAACUUCGGGAAACCGGAGCUAAUACCGGAUAAUAUUUUGAACCGCAUGGUUCAAAAGUGAAAGACGGUCUUGCUGUCACUUAUAGAUGGAUCCGCGCUGCAUUAGCUAGUUGGUAAGGUAACGGCCUACCAAGGCAACGAUGCAUAGCCGACCUGAGAGGGUGAUCGGCCACACUGGAACUGAGACACGGUCCAGACUCCUACGGGAGGCAGCAGUAGGGAAUCUUCCGCAAUGGGCGAAAGCCUGACGGAGCAACGCCGCGUGAGUGAUGAAGGUCUUCGGAUCGUAAAACUCUGUUAUUAGGGAAGAACAUAUGUGUAAGUAACUGUGCACAUCUUGACGGUACCUAAUCAGAAAGCCACGGCUAACUACGUG
This 497-nucleotide ribosomal RNA is filed under the name uncultured bacterium. Its description in RNAcentral is "partial 16S ribosomal RNA". It matches the Rfam family "Bacterial small subunit ribosomal RNA", at positions 28 to 507 of the family's 1533-position model. The record is from RNAcentral.